This 800-nucleotide ribosomal RNA is filed under the name Bacillus sp. CO25. Its description in RNAcentral is "bacterial SSU rRNA". It matches the Rfam family "Bacterial small subunit ribosomal RNA", at positions 375 to 1168 of the family's 1533-position model. Lineage: Bacteria; Bacillati; Bacillota; Bacilli; Caryophanales; Bacillaceae. RNAcentral also lists the same sequence under 1 other name. The record is from RNAcentral.
ACGAAAGUCUGACGGAGCAACGCCGCGUGAGUGAUGAAGGUUUUCGGAUCGUAAAGCUCUGUUGUUAGGGAAGAACAAGUGCAAGAGUAACUGCUUGCACCUUGACGGUACCUAACCAGAAAGCCACGGCUAACUACGUGCCAGCAGCCGCGGUAAUACGUAGGUGGCAAGCGUUGUCCGGAAUUAUUGGGCGUAAAGGGCUCGCAGGCGGUUUCUUAAGUCUGAUGUGAAAGCCCCCGGCUCAACCGGGGAGGGUCAUUGGAAACUGGGAAACUUGAGUGCAGAAGAGGAGAGUGGAAUUCCACGUGUAGCGGUGAAAUGCGUAGAGAUGUGGAGGAACACCAGUGGCGAAGGCGACUCUCUGGUCUGUAACUGACGCUGAGGAGCGAAAGCGUGGGGAGCGAACAGGAUUAGAUACCCUGGUAGUCCACGCCGUAAACGAUGAGUGCUAAGUGUUAGGGGGUUUCCGCCCCUUAGUGCUGCAGCUAACGCAUUAAGCACUCCGCCUGGGGAGUACGGUCGCAAGACUGAAACUCAAAGGAAUUGACGGGGGCCCGCACAAGCGGUGGAGCAUGUGGUUUAAUUCGAAGCAACGCGAAGAACCUUACCAGGUCUUGACAUCCUCUGACAACCCUAGAGAUAGGGCUUUCCCUUCGGGGACAGAGUGACAGGUGGUGCAUGGUUGUCGUCAGCUCGUGUCGUGAGAUGUUGGGUUAAGUCCCGCAACGAGCGCAACCCUUGAUCUUAGUUGCCAGCAUUUAGUUGGGCACUCUAAGGUGACUGCCGGUGACAAACCGGAG